GUCUGCCUCUCCCCCACUCUCUCUCUCUCUAAAUAAAUAAACGUUAAAAAAAAAAUAUUUAAAAACAUGAUCAGUUCCUCUGCAGAGUGAUGGAGCCGACAGGGUCCUACUGGAGAGUGACUCUUCUUGCCUCCCCCAAGCUUUUGAGCAGAAUUGUUGGAAGCAGGCGACUUACCCAGUCUUCCUGGAGAGGGUCCCUGAUAGGGUGGGUCUCCUCUUUCCAAAUAGUUCUGCUGAGGUGAGUCUGAGCCAGCCCUUGACCUUCUCCUCUCUGACCUUUCCCACCCAAGGUGAGAGAACUUACAAAGAUCUGGGCCGACUGUAAUGAAGGGCAGGAGCAAGUGCUCUAGCUAUCAGGGUACCAGGGUUUCAGUGCCAGCACCAUCUCAAGGUUGCUGUGUGACCUUGGCCAUGUCAUUAUUCAUUGAUUCAUUCACUGUCCACAAAGCAUUGACAGGAGGGGGGGAUGGAUGAGACCAAAGCUAUGAACAGACAGUUACCCCAAACUUAAAACAGCUACGCCUCACACGGGGCCCCACACAUAAGUGUUCCAUGAAUUUUUGCUGAAGAAAUAAAUGAUAUGACUUAAUCACAGCACACUAGGGCGGGGACUUUUUGUCACUGAUGUGUCUCAGGUGCCUACAACAGUGCCAGACACACAGUGGGCGGGCACACAGGGCCAGAGGGGAGGAUGAUGGAGACAGAGAGAUGAGCCUGUGCCAAAGUACAGAGCCCUCGCUUUUUCCGUUUCCGGUUUUUUAAGUGGUCCGCCAGAGUUGGGAGGCAGCAGCCCCUGGGUUACUUUGAGUUAGGGUUGCUGCUUUUGGUGUAGAAGACGGGAACCGCCUGUGUGCCGACAUUUUGGAGAAGUGGUCGGAGUUGUGAACAGUCAAGUGGAAGAGAAGGAGGUGACUUGUACAAAGAAAGACUGACAGUAAGUAUAAAUAUUUGGAUUAUGGCAAGAUGAGCUUCCUGUUGCCCAAGCUAACUAGCAAAAAAGAAGUAGACCAAGCAAUAAAAAGUACUGCAGAGAAGGUAUUGGUUCUCCGAUUUGGGAGAGAUGAGGAUCCUGUCUGUCUGCAGCUAGAUGAUAUUCUUUCUAGGACGUCUUCUGACCUGAGUAAAAUGGCUGCUAUGUAUCUGGUAGAUGUGGACCGAACUCCCGUUUACACGCACUAUUUUGACAUCAGUUAUAUUCCAUCUACUGUGUUCUUCUUCAAUGGGCAGCACAUGAAAGUGGAUUAUGGUUUUUAGAAUAUAGAUGUAAGAUCUUCAUUGGUCUCUACUAGCUCUAACCUGUUGAAAAGUGUGGAUGGAUCUAGAGAGUACACCUGAGGACAACUUGACAGUGAAGGGCAGACCCUGGUGCGAGAAUACUGACAUCAGCAUUUUAUACCAUGAGAAGGAGAGGCCAUAUUUUCAUAGGACACAAAGGUACAUUAAUGAAAGGUCAGUGUACUGAAGGCUUAAACAGCAGGAAGGAAUAGAAGAAGUUAGAAGAAGAGCCUUCUGUUUACAGGGGUUCUGAAACCUUUCUUCUGGGAGACCCUUAAUAGCAAGACCCUGUCUUUGUGAAAGGGAAGACUCAGGUGGCUUUCAUUUGGCUCCCAGUAAAGGAUAGGUUUCUUCCAACUGGGAAAAGCAUACCCUAUUGAGGAAGAGACUUGUAACUCUUUACCAAGUUCCAGAAUGUUCGUAGGGAUGUUAGGGAUCAGUUGUUUUAAGCCCCUCUGGAAGGAAACCAGGGACUGAUGGCAGGGAACUGAAGGCACUUGGCAAACAUGUGGCCACACUAUGAUCUGGACUCAGCAAGUCCAGAAGUCCUGCCUUUACCCCAUCUUACUUUGUUUUCUGAAGUGCUGGUGUGUUGGAGCACAAAUAAUAAAAUACUGCCUGUGCCAAAACCCUUGUUUUCAUCCCACGUUGAGCUAGCCUCUUCCUCAUCAGCCCACACUCUUUCCCCUAACACACGUCAAAGAAGAGGAUGCAGUGUAGAGAGCUGAAGUUCAUAUCCAGACAGACCUGGGUUCAAAGUGAAUUCAGCCUCACUAUCUAAUAGCUGUAUGGCCUUAAACAAAUCACUUAACUUCUCCAAGUCUGUUUUCUUGUCUAUGAAACCAGGGUAACAGUGACCUUUCUAAGGCCUGCUGUUUGGUAGACACUCAGUCAAUGAGUAUGAUCCCCAGGGUGGGAAAGUUUGUUUCAUCUUAUGGAUUUUGAGUUGGCUUGGGGUGUUUUCUGCCACACUCAUAGUAGACUCUAUACCACUUAGCUGCUGCUGUACCAUAAAUGAGAGAAUAAAAAAGGCCUAAGGCUAAAAACAGCACACACACACACACAAAAAAAGUACAGAGCCCUCAGUGUCCUCACCCACCUGCAUCUUGAUUCCAUCCGGUAAGAAAAAAAAGGAUAGGGUUGGCCCUGUAGUCACUCAGAUUCUUCUAGUACUAAACUCUCUGAUCCUAGAAGUGAAUACAGUUACCCAGGUUAGGGCCUGACCAGUGCUGAGCAGCUUUGCAUUCUGGGAGAUCUGGGUUUUGAGUUUGGCUCAUCCCAACUUCAGAAUAAAGGCUCGGCAAUCUUAGACACCUCUUUUCCACCCUGUCACUCUGCCUUUCACUUUGGAAGUCCCUCUCGCAUCCCCAUACAAUCAAUUGCACCAUGAAAGUCAGCACUUAUUUGUAUAUUGCCAUAAUUUUUCUUUGUAUUAAUUUUAUUUUUGCAAUAAAGCCUUUGUUAAUUACAGGUUUUUUAACUAACACAGGUUAAUUGUGGUCAAACCAGAAAAGUAUCACAGAAGAAAAUAAAAAUCACCUGUACUUUCACUACCUGAUAUGUUUUCCUUGUAGAUUUGUUAUGCCUUCAUUAAAAUCUACUUACAUGUGAGCUCAUAAAACACACUGUCCCAGAUGGCUGCCCUGUGAGUCUUAGGUUCCCAACAAAGCAUGAACUGGGGGCAGUCCUCUCUUAUCCUCCAUUAGUUGUGUCUCUGAUUGGAAGACAUGUUGUCUGGGACCCCAAAACUCCAAUUCUUUAGCCAGCUGUAGAUCAUCAUGCUAAGACCUCAAAGGACUCAGAGGACUUUUCAUUUGGAAGCGUGGCUCUGGACCCAAAGCCCUAUGUGGCUUGCUCACCCUGUCUAGAGUUGGGCUACAUUAUGUGGGAAGCACCAGGCCUUGCUCCAGACCAGAGACAGCACUGAGCAGCUUUCUGGGGGACCUGGCGAGAGGCUGCUUAGAAACGUACUUCCCCACCUGCCUGAAGGGCCCCCCCAAAUAAACCCAUAACCCUAGCUUGCUCAGUUUCCUCUUGCCCCUCUAAUGAAAAGCUCUAUCCCCAGAACACUGGUCCCUUUUUGUGGCCUGGUUCCUUGCUAUUCAGUGUGUGAUCCAUCGGCCAGCAACAUAGAAAACAAGAUCUCUAGAUGAUGGGUUUUUUUUUAAGUUUUUAUUUAUUUACUUAGAGAGAGAGAGAGAGAGAGAGAGAGAGAGAGAGAGAGAGAGAAAAUCCCAAGCAGUCUCCACACCACCAGCAUGGAGCUUUAUUUGAGGCUUGGACCCAUGAACCAUGAGACCAUGACCUGAGCCAAAAUCUAGAGUCAGAUAUUCAACCAACUGAGCCAACCAGGCGCCCCUAGAUGAUGGUUUGCAUGUUAAAGUUUAAGAAGCAAGGUGCAAACUCUAUUUAAGAAGGUCUUAGGUGGAAUCUGAAAUUCUUCAUUUUCUAACACGCUCCCAAGUAAUAGGGAUACAGCUUGUUUACAGAGCACACUCUGAGUAGCAAACAUAUAGGAGCCUCUUUUGCCCUCCCUUAUGCUUCCUGAAGGCGAAGGGGCAGGAGAGCCCUAGAGGCUCUCUCCCUAGAGGUUAGAAUGUGUACACACACACACACAUACACACACACACACACAGUUGAGGGCUAUGUCGUGGGUGUCAAAUAAAUGUUUGAUGAGUGAAUACAUGAAGUUGAGGAGUAAGAAGACCUAAAGCUACACUCGCAUUCUUCCAAUACUUGCCCAUUUCAGUGGCAAUAUCAUCAGCUUCUGACUCACCAGAUGGAAUUGGUUCCAUUUUUGGAGCCAUUUUUGCCCUGGCUCUGUCUUUUCCUUUCUCACUGCUUCUAUUCUCAUUCAGAUAAUUCUCAUCUAUCCUCUACCUUCCUGCCUCUGGUCCCUUUCCCCUCUAGUUUACUAACAAAACUCUACAGCUACACACUAGACCUCAAAGACAUAUUUCCAGAAUCUUUCUUUUCCACUCCAAACCUGCUUUUGCUACCUUGGUGUCUCUGGUUCUUGGAAACCAUAUCUGCUUUUCCCAAUGUCCCCAGCUCUAUUACAGCCUGAUGUUUAGCUUCAUGCCCACUUUCAUCCUAGACGCUGCUCUAUGACUUGACCUGAACUGUCGUGCCCUUGCACCCAACAGCUUUUGUAUUCCAACCUAUU
Molecule: long non-coding RNA, 4441 nt
Organism: Herpailurus yagouaroundi (jaguarundi)
Lineage: Eukaryota; Metazoa; Chordata; Mammalia; Carnivora; Felidae
Exons: 2
Source: RefSeq, a predicted model, not a curated record